RNAcentral lists this ribosomal RNA (497 nucleotides) under uncultured bacterium. RNAcentral's name for it is "partial 16S ribosomal RNA". It matches the Rfam family "Bacterial small subunit ribosomal RNA", at positions 28 to 507 of the family's 1533-position model. The record is from RNAcentral.
GAUGAACGCUGGCGGCGUGCCUAAUACAUGCAAGUCGAGCGAACAGAUGAGGAGCUUGCUCCUCUGACGUUAGCGGCGGACGGGUGAGUAACACGUGGAUAACCUACCUAUAAGACUGGGAUAACUUCGGGAAACCGGAGCUAAUACCGGAUAAUAUAUUGAACCGCAUGGUUCAAUAGUGAAAGACGGUUUUGCUGUCACUUAUAGAUGGAUCCGCGCCGCAUUAGCUAGUUGGUAAGGUAACGGCUUACCAAGGCAACGAUGCGUAGCCGACCUGAUAGGGUGAUCGGCCACACUGGAACUGAGACACGGUCCAGACUCCUACGGGAGGCAGCAGUAGGGAAUCUUCCGCAAUGGGCGAAAUCCUGACGGAGCAACGCCGCGUGAGUGAUGAAGGUCUUCGGAUCGUAAAACUCUGUUAUUAGGGAAGAACAAAUGUGUAAGUAACUAUGCACGUCUUGACGGUACCUAAUCAGAAAGCCACGGCUAACUACGUG